AGAACGAACGCUGGCGGCAUGCCUAAUACAUGCAAGUCGAACGAACACUUCGGUGUUAGUGGCGCACGGGUGCGUAACGCGUGGGAAUCUGCCCUUGGGUUCGGAAUAACAGUUGGAAACGACUGCUAAUACCGGAUGAUAUCGAAAGAUCAAAGAUUUAUCGCCCAGGGAUGAGCCCGCGUAGGAUUAGCUAGUUGGUGAGGUAAAGGCUCACCAAGGCGACGAUCCUUAGCUGGUCUGAGAGGAUGAUCAGCCACACGUGGGACUGAGACACGGCCCAGACUCCGUACGGGAGGCAGCAGUAGGGAAUAUUGGACAAGUGGGCGACAAGGCCUGACUCCAGCAAGUGCCGCGUGAGUGAUGAAGGUCCGUUAGGGUUAGUAAAGCGUUCUUUACCGAGUAGUAGUAUAA
RNAcentral lists this ribosomal RNA (411 nucleotides) under uncultured soil bacterium. RNAcentral describes it as "bacterial SSU rRNA". It matches the Rfam family "Bacterial small subunit ribosomal RNA", at positions 26 to 455 of the family's 1533-position model. The record is from RNAcentral.